CCUAACAUUUCUAUUUCUGUUAACUGUUUCAGAAGAUUACACAAUUCAUAUAAUGUGUUUAAAAUGAUUGAUAUGACGUGUCUUGAUUCUCACUGCUCUGUAGGUGAUGCUUGUCUCUAUGAAACAAUCAGAGGCUCUAAAGAACCUGAACAUUGUACAGUAUAUACUGUGUUCAUCACAGAGCUGUUAGAAAUAUAUGAUGAUUUCAGGAAAUGCACAAUCUCCUUAAUAUAUAAAAAAUCUUUCUUUCAGCUGAAUCCAGGCUCACAUAUUCUGUGGUUGAGCUUAGAAACAUUCCUAAAAAGAGGAAGAAUAAGGAACUGGACGAGAGCACUGUUUACUCUGAUGUGAAGACGGCAUCAGCUGCAGAUGACAAUUUGUUGUAUGCCCAAGUUCACCCUCGCACCAAAGAUAAGAAAGCUAAAGGUGAGUAAAGUCAACAUCCACCUGCAGCUGUUACUCUCCAACAGGCUUGUGUUUGACACAGUGUGAUGUGAGUUCUGUGUGCAUCCAAAACAAACAUCUUUUAAGAUGUAGAAAACGGGAUUCCUCCUUCAACUAUUAUUGUAACUUAUUCUGCCUAAUGUCGUAAUCUAGUUUGUCUUGUGUGUUUCUUUUGUAGACUAUAUUUACUUUUUGCAUAUCUGAGAAAAACAUGCAUCAGUACAUCAGUACGGUACAUUAUUUUUAACUGGGUCAUUACUGGCAAACAUAUAUAUUAAAAAAAAUCAUCUUUCCAUUCACAGGAAAAUCCAGAUGUGCAGCAGCAGAGGAAGCAGUUUAUUCUGAAGUCAAACCAGGAGCUCGUGAUCAAUGAAGACAUCUGUAUGGACAAAACCGGUCAACAUGAAGACCAAAAUCUUUUUAAUUAAUAUCUGCAGCUUUUUUUUAUGUAAUCAUCUUUGCUGUCUGAAUAACAGACAGUAUUUUUUUUACAGUUAAUCUAUUAGCAAAGAAAUAAAUGCAUCAUAUGGCUUUAAUCUUCUGUAUUUUUUAAAGUUUGGUUGACCUUUUAAAUGCUUCAAUAAACUUUUGUUCCAGCAACAUGCUGUCUGUCUCAUAA
Long non-coding RNA from Anarrhichthys ocellatus (wolf-eel), 1063 nucleotides. RefSeq lists it as uncharacterized. The transcript has 4 exons. Lineage: Eukaryota; Metazoa; Chordata; Actinopteri; Perciformes; Anarhichadidae. The record is from RefSeq and is a predicted model, not a curated record.